UGGGGAAUUUUGGACAAUGGGCGAAAGCCUGAUCCAGCAAUGCCGCGUGUGUGAAGAAGGCCUUCGGGUUGUAAAGCACUUUUGUCCGGAAAGAAAUCCUUGGCUCUAAUACAGUCGGGGGAUGACGGUACCGGAAGAAUAAGCACCGGCUAACUACGUGCCAGCGGCCGCGGUAAUACGUAGGGUGCAAGCGUUAAUCGGAAUUACUGGGCGUAAAGCGUGCGCAGGCGGUUUGCUAAGACCGAUGUGAAAUCCCCGGGCUCAACCUGGGAACUGCAUUGGUGANUGGCAGGCUAGAGUAUGGCAGAGGGGGGUAGAAUUCCACGUNUAGCAGUGAAAUGCGUAGAGAUGUGGAGGAAUACCGAUGGCGAAGGCAGCCCCCUGGGCAAUACUGACGCUCAUGCACGAAAAGCGUGGGGAGCAAACAGGAUUAGAUACCCUGGUAGUCCACGCCCUAAAACGAUGUCAACUAGUUGUUGGGGAUUCAUUUCCUUAGUAACGUAGCUAACGCGUGAAGUUGACCGCCUGGGGGAGUACGGUCGCAAGAUUAAAAACUUAAAUG
This 562-nucleotide ribosomal RNA is filed under the name uncultured bacterium. Its description in RNAcentral is "partial 16S ribosomal RNA". It matches the Rfam family "Bacterial small subunit ribosomal RNA", at positions 355 to 907 of the family's 1533-position model. The record is from RNAcentral.